This is a long non-coding RNA of Coturnix japonica (Japanese quail), 2944 nucleotides long. NCBI's taxonomy places the organism in Eukaryota, Metazoa, Chordata, Aves, Galliformes, Phasianidae. The record is from Ensembl.
CCCUUAUCCCACUAUCCCCAUAUCCCAUACCCCUAUAAUCCCCCCAUAUCCCCCAUAUCCCCCCAUAAGCCCCCAUAUCCACCCUAUAAUGCCCCAUAUCCCCUAUAAGCCCCAUAUCCCCCAUAUAACCCCAUAUCCCCCAUUAUCACCCCAUAUCCCCCCUAUCCCCCCAUAUUCCCCCCAUAUCCCCCCUAUACCCCCCAUAUCCCCUAUAUCCCCCCAUAUCCCCCCAUAUUCCCCCUAUAUCCCCCCAUAUCCCCCAUAUCCUUAUAAGCUCCCCAUAUCCCCCAUAUCCCCAUAUCCCUCCAUAUCCCCCCAUAUCCCCCCCAUAUCUCCCCCAUAUCCCCCCAUAUCCCCCCUAUAUCCCCCCAUAAUCCCCCAUAUCCCCCCCUAUAUCCCCCCAUUGCAGGUGCAGCACUUGCACUGAUUGGUUCAUUAUGCUGCUCCGCUAACGAGGAGCUCGACUAUAAAUAACCCCGGGGGCUCAUUUGCAUAAUUACAUAUUUGCAUAUUCCUCCCCCCUCCCCCUCCGGUACCAUAGCAAACCCCCCCAACCCCCUUAUCCAAUUCAGGGCUUCAUUAUGGGUUUCAUUAGCAUAAUUAGCACUAACGCUAACGAGUUAUCGGGCUUGGGGGGGGGGGGUGUUCCUGCUCGCCUAUAGGAGAUGGUUUGACCCACAGCCGGACCCACAACCGCCAACAGCCCCAAUGGGGGGGGGGCAGCGGGACCCACGGCAAGGGAUGGAGGACCAACAACAGGCGGAAGUCCUCCAACAACAGGAAGUCCUGCCAGCUAACACCGGAGGUCCUCCAUGAGAACACCCGGAGGUCCUCCAGUGCUGGAGGUCCUCUCAAGGACACGCCGGAGGUCUCCAACAACAGUCGGAAGGUCCUCCAAGUAAGGAAGUCCUCCAAGAACCCUCAAGAAGAAGAAGUCCCUCCAAGAACAGUCGGAAGUCCCCCCAUAGAACAGAGUCCCUCCAAGCAACAGGCCAAGGUCCUCCAAGAAACAGAAGUUCCUUCCAAGGAGAGUCCCAAGGUCCUGGCCAACAGACAGGCGGAAGUCGCUCCACACACCAGAAUCCUCCAAGGGCUGGAGGUCCUCCAAGGAACAGGCGAGUCCGUCCAACAAGAGGAAGUCCUCCCAUACAACAGCCAGAGAGUCCUCCAACAACUAGGCGGAAGUCCCUCCCAAGGCUGAGGUCCUCCAAGAAAAGGAAGUCCUCCAAUGACCAGGCGGAGCGCUCCUCCAAAACACCCGGAGGUCCUCCAAGCUGGAGGUUCCUCCAUAGGACACCGGAGGUCCUCCAACCACAGUGCGGGAAGUCUCUCCAAGACACAAGCCAAGGUCCUCCAAGAACAGUCGGAAGUCCUCCAAGAACAGGAAGUCCUCCAAGAACAGCCCAAGGUCCUCCAAGAACAGGAAGUCCUCAAGAACAGGAAGUCCUCCAACGUACAGCCAAGGUCGUCCAAGAACAGGAAGUCCUACCACAAGGCCAGCCAGCAACCAAAGGUCCUCCAAGCAACAGGCGGAAGUCCUCCAACAACCCCAGAAGUCUCCAAGGGCUGAGGUUCUCAAGAACAGGCGGAGUCCCUCCAACAGAGGAAAGUCCUCAACAACAGCCAGAGGUCCUCCAACAACAGUCAGAAGUCCUCCAAGGGCUGGAGGUCCUCCAAGAAAAGGAAGUCCUCCAAGAACAGGCGGAAGUCCUCCAACAACACCCAGAAGUCCUCCAAGGGCUGGAGGUCCUCCAAGGGACACCCAGAAGUCCUCAACAACAGUCGGAAGUCCUCCAGGGCUGGAGGUCCUCCAAAAGAAAAGGAAGUCCUCCAAGGACACCCGGAGGUCCUCCAACAACAGUCAGAAGUCCUCCGACGUGGCUGGAGGGUCCUAAAAGAGCUGGAGGUCCUCCAACCCCCGGAAGUCCUCCAAGAACACCUUGAGGUCCAUCCAAGAACACCGGAAGCUCCUCCAAGGCUGGAAGGUCCAACACCGCACGGGUUCUCCAACACCUGGAAGUCCUCCAAGAACACCGCGGAGGUCCUCCAAGGGCUGGAGGUCCUCCAAACAACAGGUGGAAGUCGCCGGGGUCUGGGUUGGGGUUAUAGGGUCAGAGUUAUGGGGUCAAGGUUUGGGUUAUAGGGUCAGAGUUAUGGGGUUAUAGGGUCAGAGUUAUGGGGUCAAGGUUUGGGUUAUAGGGUCUGGGGUCAGGGUUGAGGUUAGAGGGUCUGAUUUGGGAUCAUGGUCAGGGUUAUAGGGUCUGGUUUGGGGUCAGGGUUGGGGUUAUAGGUUUGGGGUUACAGGGUCUGAUUUGGGGUCAUGGUCAGGGUUAUAGGGUGGGUUAUAGGGUGGGUUAUAGGGUCAUGGGUUUACAGGGUCUGAGUUGGGGUUGUAGGGUCAUGGUUAUAGGGUCAGAGUUGGGGUCAGGGUUAUAGGGUCAAAAUUGAGGUCCCAGCCAGAGUUAUAGGGUCAGAGUCAGGGUUGUGGGGUCAUGGUUAUAGGGUCAGGGUCGUGGUUAUAGGGUCAGGGUUGUGGGGUCAUGGUUAUAGGGUCAGAGUUGGGGUUGUAGGGUCUGGUUAUAGGGUCGGGUCUGGUUAUAGGGUCGGGUCUGGUUAUAGGGUCGGGUUAUAGGGUCUGGUUAUAGGGUCGGGUUAUAGGGUCUGGUUAUAGGGUCGGGUCUGGUUAUAGGGUCGGGUUAUAGGGUCGGGUUAUAGGGUCGGGUCUGGUUAUAGGGUCGGGUUAUAGGGUCGGUUAUAGGGCCAGGCUCACAGUGACGGGUCAGGGCUGCUCUAUGAGGCCACUCCAUCCCCUCCAUGCACUGAUUCCCCCCUCCCCCUUUCACCCUCUUAUUCCAUGGGGUGGGACAAAUUUCAGUCCCAAAUAGGGGACUGAAACCCCCCCCCCCCAUCCCCACCCAAAGGUGGCUCCGAACCCGAACGGAAC